GUUUUAAGGAGAUCACCCCCCAAAAUACAAGCCUUUUAACACAUUUCUCUCAUGACUUCUCUUUUCAGUUUCCAGAAAAAGUCAGACUCCUCUCACUGAGGGCAUCUAUGAAGACCUUACUAAUACUGUAGUGGGGGAGAAAUAUGAAGAGGUGGAAGAGAAAGAUAUAAGUCUCUCAGGAAUAGAGUAUGAUGAUAUUGAAGAAAGUGAGAAUCAUCUGACUGAAAAAGAGGAAGAAGAGAAGGAGGAGGAGGAGGAGGAGGAGCAAGAGCAGGAGGAGGAGGCAAAAGUUAUCACUUACUCAGGCCGGGGUCCUCAUCUUAUGGACACAAAUGAGCUUCUUGUUAUGGAAGAAAAUGACCAGUUUUUGCCUCCUGGAUAUGAUGAUGCUGAAUUGGAUAUUUUAGGGAUGUCAUUGCGUCAAGAGAAUUUUAAAUAAAACAUCUCACCAGACUAGAAAUAUGUUCUUAUUUACAGCACUGUAUUUGGCUCUUUGGGGCACUGACAUCAUAUAUAUUUUUCUUUUCUUUCUUACUGAUUCUUGGUUUUAUUAUCAAAUGAUGCUUAGAUUGUCUAAGUAAUUAUUUUUAUUAUGGAGUUUGUAAAAGAGUGGCAGUUGGUUUGACUUUGCUCUUGGAGACAUUUUAACUACUAAAAGUGUCCCAUACAUCCUCCCAUUUUACUGAUGAAAAAAAUUGAAUCUCAGAGAAAUUAAAUUAUAUGUCAUGAAUCACAUGGCUAGUAAUUGUCUGAGAUAAGGUUUGAAACUCAAAUAUUCUUGCCUUUAGGUCCAUGUUUCUCGAUGAUGACUGAAACUAACGGUAUCUUAACCAAAUACAGUAAAUAGAUGCUAUAGUACCCUGGAUAGCCAGAAGAACAUAAGUUUCUUUUUUGUUGAAGGACUUUAUUUACAAGUGUAUCAGCCCCUCCCUUCCCCCUCCUGUAUCAUAGGAGGCAUCAUCCUGGAGACAUAUAUAUAUAUAUAUAUGUGUGUGUGUGUGUGUGUGUAUAUAUAUAUAUAUAUGCAUUUAAAUUAUAUUUCUUUCAUAUUUCAGUUUAUUCUCUGGAGGUAACAUUCACAAAAUAUUCUUCAAAUAGUAAAUUUGUAGCCAUGAACAAUAUUCUCUUAGUUCUACUUAAGUCACUGUUCAUUAUCCCAUGAAGUUCUUUCAUUCUUCCAAGAUUUUUUUUUAAAAUUACCCUGCUUUUUAUUUCUUAUGGCACAGUAGUAGCCCAUCACAGUCAUAUACCACAAUUUGUUUAGACACUCCCCAAUUGAUGGCCAUCUCAAUUUCCAGUUUUUUGCCAUCCUAAAGAAAACUGUUAUAAAUAUUUUAGAACAUAUGGGUUCUUUUCCUUUUCAUCUGAUCUCUUUGGGAAACAGGUAUGCACAUUUUAAUAACUUUUUGGAUGUAAUUCCAAAUUGCUUUUCAAAAUGAAUGGCUCAGUUUACAGGUUCACCAACAGUGCAUUAGCGUAACCAUUUUUUCACAUCCACUCCGACAUUUGUUAUUUUGCCCUUUUGUUAUUUUAGCAAUCUGAUUUGUGUGAGAUUAUAUCUCAGAAUUUGCAUUUAUCUAAUAAAUGAUUUAGGGCAUUUUUUCA
Molecule: long non-coding RNA, 1605 nt
Organism: Monodelphis domestica (gray short-tailed opossum)
Lineage: Eukaryota; Metazoa; Chordata; Mammalia; Didelphimorphia; Didelphidae
Source: Ensembl